This 973-nucleotide long non-coding RNA is filed under the name Sus scrofa (pig). RNAcentral describes it as "lncRNA (ENSSSCG00045013677.1)". The record is from RNAcentral. Lineage: Eukaryota; Metazoa; Chordata; Mammalia; Artiodactyla; Suidae.
AGGGCAGGUCCUGGGUGGGGUCAGGAGGGCUGGGUUCUCAGCCCAAANGGGGUUGGGGGGGGGGGGGGGGGGGGGGGGGGGGGGGGGGGGUUGCUGAGGGUGCCCAGCUCCUACCAGCCCCGUGAUCACUGCAUUUCAGGCCCACCCGAGGGUGUGCUCAUUUCUCAGGACCAGCAAGACAGAGUCCUGCACCUCCCCGAUGUCCUGAGAGGGACAGUGCCUGCCCAGAUCGUGGCAAGGGCAGGCUUGGCUGGAGCCGUGUGCCUGGGUCCCUGAGGGCUGGGUGUUGGCCCUGAGGCUGAGUCCUGGCCACACAGACGCUGUGACAGGUCCCUGCCAGGGCGGUGCCGGGAGCAAGACAUGCCCAGAAACCAAGUGCCACCUUCUUCUGCCUUACGGAACCCCCAUUCUCCAGAUCCUCCGCAAAGCGACCCAGAAGUUGAGUCCCAGACCCCUUGGAGCGGGAACCGUUGGCCUGAGAAGCUUGAGGAUCACGUUCAAUUCAUCAUUAUUUGGCGCCCUGAUUGACUUGCCCGCGUGGAGACUUCUCGCGGCUGUGCCUGGUCCUCCCGGCCCAGUUCUGGCCGCGCGCGCGCGCGCCCCUCGCCCAGCUUAAUUGACUGUGUCUCUAACCCGCCACGAGGUGCAGCUUCUAAUGAUGAAUAAACAACGGUGCGCGAUUACCGGCGAAAUUACCCAUCUGCGGGUCAUGCUGGGCAAGCACUUCUCAAGCAAAAACGCCUCCCGACCUCCAGCUUGAGGCGGCUGCGUCAGGACACAUUCCCAAGGCGGGCUCUGGGGCGAGCCAGGGGACGCCUGGUCUGGGUGGCCUGUGGCUGCUCUAACAAGCACACGACCUGCUCACGUCCCCGUGUCCCCCCAGUACUGGCCGUCGGGGCCAUCAUCAGCUGAUGCCACGCCCCACGGCCUCCCCCGUUCAGCAGAGCUCUCCUUCUGAGAAUCCAAAUUCCAC